This 1124-nucleotide ribosomal RNA is filed under the name uncultured bacterium. Its description in RNAcentral is "bacterial SSU rRNA". It matches the Rfam family "Bacterial small subunit ribosomal RNA", at positions 373 to 1482 of the family's 1533-position model. The record is from RNAcentral.
GCGCGAAAGCGUGACGGAGCGACGCCGCGUGUAGGACGAAGCCCCUCGGGGUGUAAACUACUGUCAGGGUUGACCAAGUAACCAAGUCGAAUAGGCUUGGAAGCUGAGGUAGUCCAGAGGAAGCCACGGCUAACUCUGUGCCAGCAGCCGCGGUAAGACAGAGGUGGUAAGCGUUGUUCGGAAUCACUGGGCUUAAAGGGUGUGUAGGCGGUUAGGUAAGCAUUCUGUGAAAGCCCUGGGCUCAACCCAGGAACCGCAGGAUGUACUGCCCGACUUGAGGCGAGUAGAGGUCACUGGAACUCUGGGUGGAGCGGUGAAAUGCGUAGAUAUCCAGGGGAACGCCAAUGGCGAAGGCAGGUGACUGGGCUCGUCCUGACGCUGAGGCACGAAAGCGUGGGAAGUGAACGGGAUUAGAUACCCCGGUAAUCCACGCCCUAAACGAUGUACACUGGCUUCAGGGACUACUGACAGUUUCUGAAGCGUAGGAAAACCGUUAAGUGUACCGCCUGGGAAGUACGGUCGCAAGAUUAAAACUCAAAGGAAUUGACGGGGGCUCACACAAGCGGUGGAGCAUGUGGCUUAAUUCGAAGCAACGCGAAGAACCUUACCUGGGUUUGACAUGUACGGAUGGCGUUCUGGAAACAGGAUUGUCUGCCCUUGUGGUGAAACGUACACAGGUGCUGCAUGGUUGUCGUCAGCUCGUGCCGUGAGGUGUUGGGUUAAGCCCCGUAACGAGCGAAACCCCUGCUGUUAGUUGCCAGCGAGUAAUGUCGGGCACUCUAACAGGACUGCCGGCGUUAAGCCGGAGGAAGGCGGGGAUGACGUCAAAUCAUCAUGGCCUUUAUGCCCAGGGAUGCACACGUGCUACAAUGCCUGGUACAAACCGAUGCAAACUCGCAAGAGCCAGCAAAUCGUAAAAAACCAGGCCCGGUUCAGAUUGCGGUCUGCAACUCGACCGCAUGAAGUUGGAAUCGCUAGUAAUCGCGUAUCAGCUACGACGCGGUGAAUGUGUUCCUGAGCCUUGUACACACCGCCCGUCAAGCCAUGGGAGUUGGGACCGCCCGAAGUCCGAUUAGCUAACCGCAAGGGAGCGUCGGCCGACGGCGAGCUCGAUGACUGGGGCU